GGAAUAAGGAAAGUUAGAUUUUGUUGGAACAAAUGAAUUGUGGAAUUUAUAAAUGAUAUUGCAGAGAAAAGUAAAUUGCAGUUUGCAUUUAAUAGCAGCUAUUCAGAUGCUGUAUUGUGGCAAUCUUUAUACACACAAUGUGAAAUUGCCAAUAGUGAAAUUGACAAGAAAUUGUUUGUUAAUAAGAAAAAAAAAAGAAAAGAAAAAAAAGAUCAGAAAUGUUAUGAAACUAGUCUGUACUUACAAUGCAUUGAUUUGUAAACGAAAUACAGGUAAAGAAAAUUUAGAAUCAGCAGAAAAAGAAAUAGAUUUGAAUGGGUUAACAGAAGACAAAUCAGAUUUAAAUGAACAGUGUAACAAUGUAACAGAGAGAACAUUGUCAGAAACAGUCUGUGAAUUAGAGGAUAGAGUUGAACUAAGAAAUGAUCUUAUUUGCCAGCUUAGAAAUGAAGUUAAGCACGAGUGUGUGUUAAUACAAGAAAAAUAAAGGCACAGAAUCUAAUCCCAGAACCAAUAGAUACUGAAAAUGUAUCCUCACAGAGUGAUUUGCAGAAAUAUAAAUUUCAAGACAGAGCUGCAAAACUUAAUUUGAAGAUCCAUGAACAAUUAAUGAAAAUUGUGAAAUGUAUUCCAGUUUAUGACACGUCAGUGGAUGCAUUCACUAAUGCUGAAAUGUUUGAGUCUAAUUUAGACAAAUACAGCCUAAAUGACGUACAAAGGAAUAGACUAUUUCAAAUAUGGCUGCCGACUCAAAUGGCAUGUAGGCUGACCGCGAUUGUAAAAUUUGAGGACAAUGGUGAAAUAAUAUAUGGAAAUAAGCGAGACAGAUUAACACAAUUAAUAAAAUUAACAACAGGGAAUGAUUUUGCAGACACUGAAAUGUUGGAAAAACUAAAACCAC
This is a non-coding RNA of Pelobates cultripes (western spadefoot toad), 901 nucleotides long. The record is from the annotation of a GenBank genome assembly. NCBI's taxonomy places the organism in Eukaryota, Metazoa, Chordata, Amphibia, Anura, Pelobatidae.